AGGGCGCAGGGCGGAUGCCUUGGCUCACGGAGGCGAUGAAGGACGUGAUAAGCUGCGAUAAGCCGCGGUAAGGCGCAAAUGGCCUGUGACCCGCGGAUUUCCGAAUGGGACAACCCGUCCGCUCGAACGGCGGACAUCGCAUCAAUACGGUGCGAGGCGAACCGGGGGAACUGAAACAUCUUAGUACCCCGAGGAAGAGAAAAUAAAUCAAUGAUUCCCCCAGUAGUGGCGAGCGACCGGGGAAGAGCCCAAACCGCCGCUGUCUUCGGGCAGGGGCGGGGUUGUAGGAACGCCAUGAUGGCAUGUGAUGACGAGCGGAACCGUCUGGAAAGACGGACCGCAGAAGGUGACAGUCCUGUAUGCGAAGUCAGGGCAUGCCAGGCGUACUCCUGAGUAACGCGGGACACGAGUAAUCCUGCGCGAAUCCGCCGGGCCCAUCCGGCAAGGCUAAAUACUCCCGUGAGACCGAUAGUGUACCAGUACCGUGAGGGAAAGGUGAAAAGAACCCCGAGCAGGGGAGUGAAAGAGCUCCUGAACCCCUGCGCCUACAAGCGGUCGGAGCAUGUAUAUCAUGUGACGGCGUGCCUUUUGCAUAAUGAACCUACGAGUUGCCGUCGCCGGCAAGGUUAAGGAUGAUGACAUCCGUAUCCGCAGUGAAAGCGAGCCUGAACAGGGCGUAUGAGUCGGCGGAGGCAGACGCGAAACCAAGUGAUCUACACUUGGCCAGGAUGAAGUCCCGGUAACACGGGAUGGAGGUCCGCACCGAUAAGCGUUGAAAAGCUUCCGGAUGAGCCGAGUGUAGGAGUGAAAGGCCAAUCAAACUUGGAGAUAGCUCGUACUCCCCGAAAUGCAUUUAGGUGCAGCGUGCGGUGUUAGUCAUGUGAGGUAGAGCGACCGAUAGGAUGAGGGGGUUUCACCGCCUGCCAAGUCCUGACGAACUCCGAAUGCGCAUGAGUCGCAGCCGUGCAGUAAGGGGGCGGGUGCUAAGGUCCGUCCCCGAGAGGAGAAGAAUCCAGACCGCCGUCUAAGGUCCCGGAAUUCUGUCUGAGUUAGUCUAACGAAGUGAGGUCCCGAAGACAGCCAGGAUGUUGGCUUGGAAGCAGCCAUUCAUUCAAAGAGUGCGUAACAGCUCACUGGUCGAGGGUCCUUGCGUGGAUAAUAAUCGGGUAUAAGACAGAUACCGAAGGCGCGGGAUAGCAAUUUUAAAAGUAUCGGUAGGGGAGCAUUCCAUACGCGUCGAAUGGAAAGGGUGACCUUUCCUGGAGCGUAUGGAAAAGCAAAUGUAGGUAUAAGUAACGACAAGGGGACUGAGAUUGUCCCCCGCCGCAAGACCGAGGUUUCCCGGGCAAUGCCAAUCAACCCGGGGUCAGUCGGGUCCUAAGUUUAAGCCGAACGGCGAGAGCGAUGGCAGAUACGGUCAACAUUCCGUAACUGCCGCACACGGCGAUGUGGUGACGGAGCAGUGGAACCGCCGCGGACCGACGGAAUGGUCCGUUGAAGGGUGUAGGUGUUGAGGAGGACAGGCAAAUCCGUCCUCCGAGCCGAACCUGAGAGUAUGCCGGUCUUCUCGGAGACAGGCAAUAGCGCGGGUAAUCAUACUCCCGAGAAAAACCGCUAAGCAACGUGUGCGGCACCCGUACCGCAAACGGACACACGUGGUCGUGUAGAACAUACUGAGGCGUUGAGAGAUUCAUGGUUAAGGAACUAGGCAAACUGACCCCGUAACUUCGGGAUAAGGGGUCCUCACCUUAUGGUGAGGCGCAGAGAAUAGGUCCAGGCAACUGUUUAACAAAAACACAGGGCUGUGCUAACUCGAAAGAUGAAGUAUACAGCCUGACACCUGCCCGGUGCCGGAAGGUUAAGAGGAGAUGUCACCGCAAGGGAAGCAUUGAAUUGAAGCCCCGGUAAACGGCGGCCGUAACUAUAACGGUCCUAAGGUAGCGAAAUUCCUUGUCGGGUAAGUUCCGACCUGCACGAAUGGUGUAAUGAUCUGGACGCUGUCUCAACCGUGAGCUCAGUGAAAUUGUAGUAUCGGUGAAGAUGCCGAUUACCCGCGAUGGGACGAAAAGACCCCGUGAACCUUUACUGCAGUGACUUAUGUCAUAAGGGGCUGCGGAUAAUAUGUCUUUAUCCUUUUCGGCGCACAAAAAGAACAACGUCUUUUUCUGCACGCUAGGUUAGUUUAUUACGUUUUUUUAAGAAAGUCAAGGGAUUUGCCAACUUUUCCGCCUUUUUCAUGUCUUUUUUCUUUUUUUCAUUCUUUCUUUAUAAAAUUGCUCCGUCUUUUCACAGUCAUAUCUUUAAAAUAAAUGAUAAAAAACGGGAAAAUCACGGUUAUCUUCUCAGAUAAUCCAUAACUUUCCCGUCUCUGUUAUCUCUUUAUUCAGACUGUCCGAAUGCCUUCGGCAUCAGAAUUAUUUUUCCUGAUUUCUUCUUCUGAAUCCGAAUACGAACGCUACCGCUGCAAGGAGUAAUGUUCCCGCAUAUACAAACAGGUUUGAGCUGUCGCCUGUCUGCACUGCCGAAUUUCCUGUGCCGCUGCCUCCUGUACUUCCAUUUCCGCCUGCGUUUCCACUACCGUUUCCGCUUCCGCCUGUGCUUCCACUGCCGUUUCCGUUUCCGCCUGUGCUUCCAUUUCCGUUUCCUUCACCGUUUCCAUCGCCGCUUCCGCCGUCGACCGGUUUCAGAUUCUGGAUUGCCGUAUUCAAUGCAAGCGUUGCCUGAUCGAUUUCAUCCUGAUCUGCAUCUGCUUUUUCAAG
Molecule: ribosomal RNA, 2759 nt
Filed under: human gut metagenome
Description: bacterial LSU rRNA
Rfam family: Bacterial large subunit ribosomal RNA (bases 1-2347)
Source: RNAcentral